CCUACGGGAGGCAGCAGUGAGGAAUAUUGGUCAAUGGUCGGGAGACUGAACCAGCCAAGCCGCGUGAGGGAUGAAGGUACAGAGUAUCGUAAACCUCUUUUGUCAGGGAACAAAGGCGGGGACGUGUCCCCGGAUGAGUGUACCUGAAGAAAAAGCAUCGGCUAACUCCGCGCCAGCAGCCGCGGUAAUACGGAGGAUGCGAGCGUUAUCCGGAUUUAUUGGGUUUAAAGGGUGCGCAGGCGGUCUGUUAAGUCAGCGGUCAAAGCCCGGGGCUCAACCCCGGCCCGCCGUUGAAACUGGCAGUCUAGAGUUGGAGAGAAGUAUGCGGAAUGCGCGGUGUAGCGGUGAAAUGCAUAGAUAUCGCGAAGAACUCCGAUUGCGAAGGCAGCAUGCCGGCUCCACACUGACGCUGAGGCACGAAAGCGUGGGUAGCGAACAGGAUUAGAUACCCGGGUAGUC
RNAcentral lists this ribosomal RNA (459 nucleotides) under uncultured bacterium. RNAcentral's name for it is "partial 16S ribosomal RNA". It matches the Rfam family "Bacterial small subunit ribosomal RNA", at positions 338 to 795 of the family's 1533-position model. The record is from RNAcentral.